UAAAGGGCUGCAGUAUAUUGACUGUACAAAGGUAGCAUAAUCAUUAGUCUUUUAAUUGAAGACUUGUAUGAAAGAUUUGAUGAAAUAUAAACUGUCUCUAAUUUAUAAAUAGAAAUUAAUUUUUUAAUUAAAAAGUUAAAAUAUUAUUAAAAGACGAGAAGACCCUAUAGAGUUUUAUAAUUUAUUUAUUUAAUUAUUAAAUAUAUAUUUAAAUUUAAUAAAUAAAUAAAUUAUUGUAUUGGGGUGAUAAAAAAAUUUAAUAAACUUUUUUUAAUUUAAUAACAUAAAUAAAUGAAAAAAUGAUCCAUUUUUAAUGAUUAAAAGAAAAAAUUACCUUAGGGAUAACAGCGUAAUAUUUUUUUUUAGUACAAAUAAAAAAAAAAGUUUGCGACCUCAAUGUUGGAUUAAGAUAAAAUUUGAAUGCAAAAGUUUAAAAGUUUUGAUCUGUUCGAUCAUUAAAAUCUUACAUGAUCUGAGCU
RNAcentral lists this ribosomal RNA (479 nucleotides) under Euphydryas editha. Its description in RNAcentral is "partial 16S ribosomal RNA". The stretch from base 341 to 479 matches the Rfam family "Bacterial large subunit ribosomal RNA", at positions 2473 to 2611 of the family's 2925-position model. Lineage: Eukaryota; Metazoa; Arthropoda; Insecta; Lepidoptera; Nymphalidae. The record is from RNAcentral.